AUUGAACGCUGGCGGCAGGCUUAACACAUGCAAGUCGAACGAGUGGCGGACGGGUGAGUAAUGCUUGGGAAUCUAGCUUCUGGAGGGGGAUAACUAUGGGAAACUGUAGCUAAUACCGCGUACCAUAGGAUGAGCCAAAGUGGGAUUAGGUAGUUGGUGAGGUAAAGGCGCACCAAGCCGACGAUCUCUAGCUGGUCUGAGAGGAUGACCAGCCACACUGGGACGGGGACACGGCCCAGAAUCCUACGUGAGGCAGCAGGGGGGAAUAUUGCGCAAUGGGGGCAACCUGACGCAGCCAUGCCGCGUGAAUGAAGAAGGCCUUCGGGUGGUAAAGUUCUUUCGGUAGCGAGGCGUUAACUACAGAAGAAGCACCGGCUAACUCCGUGCCAGCAGCCGCGGUAAUAC
This 405-nucleotide ribosomal RNA is filed under the name uncultured bacterium. RNAcentral describes it as "partial 16S ribosomal RNA". It matches the Rfam family "Bacterial small subunit ribosomal RNA", at positions 30 to 526 of the family's 1533-position model. The record is from RNAcentral.